UAGCUCAGUGGUAGAGCACUUGCCUAGCAUGCAUAAGGCCCUGGGUUUGAUUCUCAG
RNAcentral lists this transfer RNA (57 nucleotides) under Ictidomys tridecemlineatus (thirteen-lined ground squirrel). Its description in RNAcentral is "Spermophilus tridecemlineatus (thirteen-lined ground squirrel) tRNA". It matches the Rfam family "tRNA", at positions 8 to 63 of the family's 71-position model. From Rfam's summary of the family: Transfer RNA (tRNA) molecules are approximately 80 nucleotides in length. Their secondary structure includes four short double-helical elements and three loops (D, anti-codon, and T loops). The record is from Rfam by way of RNAcentral. Lineage: Eukaryota; Metazoa; Chordata; Mammalia; Rodentia; Sciuridae.